UGGCGCAUACAAAGAGAAGCGACCUCGCGAGAGCAAGCGGACCUCAUAAAGUGCGUCGUAGUCCGGAUUGGAGUCUGCAACUCGACUCCAUGAAGUCGGAAUCGCUAGUAAUCGUGGAUCAGAAUGCCACGGUGAAUACGUUCCCGGGCCUUGUACACACCGCCCGUCACACCAUGGGAGUGGGUUGCAAAAAGAAGUAGGUAGCUUAACCUUCGGGAGGGCGCUUACCACUUUGUGAUUCAUGACUGGGGUGAAGUCGUAACAAGGUAACCGUAGGGGAACCUGCGGUUGGAUCACCUCCUUACCUUAAAGAAGC
Molecule: ribosomal RNA, 316 nt
Filed under: Salmonella enterica subsp. enterica serovar Agona str. SA-3
Lineage: Bacteria; Pseudomonadati; Pseudomonadota; Gammaproteobacteria; Enterobacterales; Enterobacteriaceae
Description: partial 16S ribosomal RNA
Rfam family: Bacterial small subunit ribosomal RNA
Source: RNAcentral